RNAcentral lists this ribosomal RNA (289 nucleotides) under uncultured Burkholderia sp. Its description in RNAcentral is "partial 16S ribosomal RNA". The record is from RNAcentral. Lineage: Bacteria; Pseudomonadati; Pseudomonadota; Betaproteobacteria; Burkholderiales; Burkholderiaceae.
CUACUCGGGUAUCUAAUCCUGUUUGCUCCCCACGCUUUCGUGCAUGAGCGUCAGUAUUGACCCAGGGGGCUGCCUUCGCCAUCGGUAUUCCUCCACAUCUCUACGCAUCUCACUGCUACACGUGGAAUUCUACCCCCCUCUGCCAUACUCGAGCGAUGCAGUCACCAAUGCAGUUCCCAGGUUAAGCCCGGGGAUUUCACAUCGGUCUUACAUCACCGCCUGCGCACGCUUUACGCCCAGUAAUUCCGAUUAACGCUCGCACCCUACGUAUUACCGCGGCUGCUGGCAC